AACGUAGGACGCAAGCGUUAUCCGGAGUUACUGGGCGUAAAGCGCGGGCAGGCGGCUCGAAACGUCUGAUGUGAAAUCUCCUCGCUCAACGGGGAGAGGCCAUUGGAAACGGUCGAGCUGGAGGGCAGUAGAGGUAGGCGGAAUUCCGGGUGGAGUGGUGAAAUGCGUAGAGAUCCGGAGGAACACCAGAGGCGAAGGCGGCCUACUGGGCUGCACCUGACGCUGAGCCGCGAAAGCCAGGGGAGCGAACGGG
RNAcentral lists this ribosomal RNA (253 nucleotides) under uncultured bacterium. Its description in RNAcentral is "partial 16S ribosomal RNA". It matches the Rfam family "Bacterial small subunit ribosomal RNA", at positions 524 to 776 of the family's 1533-position model. The record is from RNAcentral.